GGCAGAUAAAUCAGUGAUGUUCUUUGUGUGAUCUGCUGUUGCUCCUUCUGUUGCUGUUGCUGCUGUAACUACAACUGUUGAUUCUAUUGCUAUUGAUACUGCUACUACUGCUGCUGCUGAAGCUCUGAGCUCCACCUCCUAUGGCUGCAUUUCUCGACAUAGGAGCUUAAUAAGUGCUUAUAAAAUUCUGUGGAAAGAGACACUGGAGCAUAACUUUGAUAGAACACAAAUACAAUAA
This 238-nucleotide long non-coding RNA is filed under the name Monodelphis domestica (gray short-tailed opossum). Its description in RNAcentral is "lncRNA (ENSMODG00000046639.1)". The record is from RNAcentral. Lineage: Eukaryota; Metazoa; Chordata; Mammalia; Didelphimorphia; Didelphidae.